Molecule: ribosomal RNA, 428 nt
Filed under: uncultured bacterium
Lineage: Bacteria
Description: bacterial SSU rRNA
Rfam family: Bacterial small subunit ribosomal RNA
Source: RNAcentral
UGGGGAAUCUUGCGCAAUGCGCGAAAGCGUGACGCAGCAACGCCGCGUGGGGGAAGACGGCCUUAGGGUUGUAAACCCCUUUCAGGAGGGACGAAGGUCGGCGCGUUAAUAGCGGGUCCGACUGACGGUACCUCCACAAGAAGCCCCGGCUAACUACGUGCCAGCAGCCGCGGUAAUACGUAGGGGGCAAGCGUUGUCCGGAAUUAUUGGGCGUAAAGAGCGUGUAGGCGGUCCGGUAAGUCAGCUGUGAAAGUCAAGGGCUCAACCCUUGAAAGCCGGUUGAUACUGUCGGGCUAGAGUCCGGAAGAGGCGAGUGGAAUUCCCGGUGUAGCGGUGAAAUGCGCAGAUAUCGGGAGGAACACCAAUGGCGAAGGCAGCUCGCUGGGACGGUACUGACGCUGAGACGCGAAAGCGUGGGGAGCAAACAG